Aedes albopictus (Asian tiger mosquito) is the source of this 778-nucleotide long non-coding RNA. RefSeq lists it as uncharacterized. Lineage: Eukaryota; Metazoa; Arthropoda; Insecta; Diptera; Culicidae. The record is from RefSeq and is a predicted model, not a curated record. The transcript has 2 exons.
GGUGGAAAGAACGAUUCUUCGUCACCCGAUUGGGGUGCGCGCGGUGGCUCGUCCUCCCCUUCUGCAGGGGCGUCGUCCUGCCCCCGUGUUCGGUACACGGGUUUCCAUCUAGCUAGAAUGAUGGUGAAGCAACCGGGACGGGACGGGAAGCUGCACUAAUUCGCACGUUUGGCGUAGAUCCGUGCUGCCGCUAUCCGACUGGAUCGCUAUAAAAGAUCACCUUCAUGGCCAAGGUUUUAACAGUGAAGUCUUGAAAGCCGUUCUGUCAACAGCAACAGUUCCCGAAGAAAAUCUUCAAAAUGAAAUUCCUAGCGCUCGUCUGCAUCUUCGCCCUGGUGUUGGCCGUCGCCUUCGCCCUGCCGGCCGUCAACGAUGAGUCUGUCGUUGCCAUCCCAUCCGAUGCCGCUCUCCUGACCGAAGCCGAGAACCCCCAGGAUCCCCAGGGAACCCUGAAGCUGCUGCUCCUGAAGAAGAAGCUGCUGCUGUUCGGUUAGACAUCUUGCCGAUGAUCGUCGAUCCCUGAUUUUGAUUUUGAUUUUGAUUUGCGGCCUUGGCCGCCUUGCACUUGGAACUUGAACCAAUUGGAACUUACCUGCAAACCUGAUGAUACCUCUGCGGAAUGCUAACCCCAAAAUGCUGCCAUGUCAUUCGACGCGUUCUAUUAGUAUAAGAGAUCAGCACACAAGCGUAGUAGCAUAGAUAUACGACAAACAGUGACAAACUGUAAAUUUAGUGAGAAUUAAUCGAAUAAAAGAUUAAAAACAACAACAAAAAACGA